UUGCUAUCUGCGAUAUGGAAGAUUUGAACCUGCCGCAGGUUCGGGUCUCACGUAGUGAGACAACGGAGCCGCUUGCGGCGACGGCCCGAAGGGCGAGCGAAGCGAGUCAUCCUGCACGACCCACCA
This 126-nucleotide small RNA is filed under the name Salmonella enterica. Its description in RNAcentral is "RtT sRNA". It matches the Rfam family "RtT RNA". From Rfam's summary of the family: This family represents a bacterial cis-regulatory element known as RtT RNA. Lineage: Bacteria; Pseudomonadati; Pseudomonadota; Gammaproteobacteria; Enterobacterales; Enterobacteriaceae. The record is from RNAcentral. RNAcentral also lists the same sequence under 3 other names.